Molecule: unclassified non-coding RNA, 1173 nt
Filed under: Hevea brasiliensis (rubber tree)
Lineage: Eukaryota; Viridiplantae; Streptophyta; Magnoliopsida; Malpighiales; Euphorbiaceae
Source: RNAcentral
AGGACUAGUAAUGCUGGUAUUCCAGAUCCUAAUGGAAAGAUAUACUGGAGUUUCAAUGCGUUGGUAGGUCUCUUUUUCCCUGCUGUGACUGGGAUCAUGGCAGGUUCGAACCGUUCAGCCUCGCUAAAGGAUACACAGCGUUCAAUUCCUAUUGGGACAUUAGCAGCAACUUUGACGACUAGUGCCUUAUAUCUAGUUUCAGUGCUGUUCUUUGGAUCUGUUGCAACUCGAGAUAAGCUUUUGACUGACAGGUUGUUGACCGCUUCAAUUGCUUGGCCAUUUCCAGCAAUUGUUUAUGUCGGUAUCAUCCUUUCAACCUUAGGGGCAGCCCUUCAAAGCUUGACUGGUGCACCACGUCUCCUUGCUGCGAUUGCAAACGAUGAUAUUUUACCUGUUCUGAACUAUUUUAAAGUGGUAGACGGAGGUGAGCCCCAUGUGGCCACUUUCUUCACUGCCUUCAUCUGUAUUGGAUGUGUCGUUAUUGGAAAUUUGGAUCUUAUUUCACCAACCAUAACAAUGUUUUACCUCCUAUGCUAUGCUGGUGUGAACUUAUCCUGCUUCCUUCUGGAUCUGUUAGAUGCUCCCAGCUGGCGACCUCGGUGGAAAUUUCACCACUGGAGCCUCUCUCUUGUUGGAGCAUUACUUUGUAUAGUUAUCAUGUUUUUGAUUUCAUGGACAUUCACUGUGGUAUCACUAGCCCUAGCAAGUCUAAUCUAUUAUUAUGUGAGUAUCAAGGGGAAAGCAGGAGACUGGGGUGAUGGUUUCAAGAGUGCAUAUUUUCAGCUUGCUCUUCGUAGUUUACGAUCUUUGGGAGCUAGUCAGGUACAUCCCAAAAAUUGGUACCCUAUCCCCCUCAUAUUUUGUCGUCCAUGGGGCAAGCUGCCAGAAAAUGUACCUUGUCAUCCUAAGCUAGCAGACUUUGCCAACUGUAUGAAGAAAAAGGGCAGGGGAAUGUCCAUCUUUAUUUCUAUUAUAGAUGGGGACUACCAUGAACGUGUUGAGGAUGCCAAGGCAGCUUGUAAGCAGCUAAGUACAUAUAUCGACUACAAGCAAUGUGAAGGUGUAGCUGAGAUUGUUGUUGCCCCAAGCAUGUCUGAAGGCUUUCGAGGCAUUGUUCAGACUAUGGGUCUCGGAAAUCUCAAGCCAAAUAUAAUCGUUAUGCGGUACCCUGAG